This 253-nucleotide ribosomal RNA is filed under the name uncultured bacterium. RNAcentral's name for it is "partial 16S ribosomal RNA". It matches the Rfam family "Bacterial small subunit ribosomal RNA", at positions 524 to 776 of the family's 1533-position model. The record is from RNAcentral.
UACAGAGGGUGCAAACGUUGUUCGGAAUUACUGGGCGUAAAGCGCGUGUAGGCGGCAACGCAAGUCGGAUGUGAAAGCCCAUGGCUCAACCAUGGAAGUGCACUCGAAACUGCGUUGCUAGAGUCUCGGAGAGGAAGGUGGAAUGCUUGGUGUAGAGGUGAAAUUCGUAGAUAUCAAGCGGAACACCGGUGGCGAAGGCGGCCUUCUGGACGAGUACUGACGCUGAGACGCGAAAGCGUGGGUAGCAAACAGG